RNAcentral lists this ribosomal RNA (253 nucleotides) under uncultured bacterium. RNAcentral describes it as "partial 16S ribosomal RNA". It matches the Rfam family "Bacterial small subunit ribosomal RNA", at positions 524 to 776 of the family's 1533-position model. The record is from RNAcentral.
UACGUAGGGUGCAAGCGUUGUCCGGAAUUAUUGGGCGUAAAGAGCUCGUAGGCGGUUUGUCGCGUCGAAUGUGAAAACCCGGGGCUCAACUCCGGGCCUGCAUUCGAUACGGGCAGACUAGAGUUCGGUAGGGGAGACUGGAAUUCCUGGUGUAGCGGUGAAAUGCGCAGAUAUCAGGAGGAACACCGAUGGCGAAGGCAGGUCUCUGGGCUGACACUGACGCUCAUGCACGAAAGCGUGGGGAGCAAACAGG